This 374-nucleotide ribosomal RNA is filed under the name uncultured organism. RNAcentral describes it as "bacterial SSU rRNA". It matches the Rfam family "Bacterial small subunit ribosomal RNA", at positions 525 to 896 of the family's 1533-position model. The record is from RNAcentral.
CGGGGGGGAGCAAGCGUUGUUCGGAUUUACUGGGCGUAAAGGGCGCGUAGGCGGCGCAACAAGUCACUUGUGAAAUCUCCGGGCUUAACCCGGAGCGGCCAAGUGAUACUGUCGUGCUAGAGUGCGGAAGGGGCUACUGGAAUUCUCGGUGUAGCGGUGAAAUGCGUAGAUAUCGAGAGGAACACCUGCGGCGAAGGCGGGUAGCUGGGCCGACACUGACGCUGAUGCGCGAAAGCCAGGGGAGCGAACGGGAUUAGAUACCCCGGUAGUCCUGGCCUUAAACGAUGGAUACUUGGUGUCCGGGGUUACAUAGUCCCCGGGUGCCGGCGCUAACGCAUUAAGUAUCCCGCCUGGGGAGUACGGUCGCAAGACUG